This 503-nucleotide ribosomal RNA is filed under the name Macrobrachium lantau. Its description in RNAcentral is "Macrobrachium sp. 1 LHC-2022a partial large subunit ribosomal RNA". It matches the Rfam family "Bacterial large subunit ribosomal RNA", at positions 1916 to 2630 of the family's 2925-position model. The record is from RNAcentral. Lineage: Eukaryota; Metazoa; Arthropoda; Malacostraca; Decapoda; Palaemonidae.
GAUUGAUUUAAAGGGCCGCGGUAAUUUGACCGUGCGAAGGUAGCAUAGUCAGUAGUCUUUUAAUUGAAGGCUUGUAUGAAAGGUUGGACGAGGGAUAGGCUGUCUCUUUUGUGUAGUUUGAAUUUAACUUUUGAGUGAAAAGGCUUAAAUUUCUUAGUGGGACGAUAAGACCCUAUAAAACUUGAUAUAAAUUUAAUUAGAUUUGUGAUUUUGGUAAAAAAUAGUCUUGUUGAGUUUAUAUUUCGUUGGGGAGAUGAAGAUAUAACGUGUAACUGUCUUUAAAAUUAAAUAAUUAUAAUUAGUUUAUGAUCCUGCUUUGUGGAUUGAAAGAAUAAGUUACUUUAGGGAUAACAGCGUGAUUUUCUUUGAGAGUUCUUAUCGACAAGAGUAGUUGCGACCUCGAUGUUGAAUUAAAGUUUUAGUUAGAUGUAGCCGUUUAACUGGUGGGUCUGUUCGACCUUUAAAAUUUUACAUGAUUUGAGUUCAAACCGGUGUGAGCCAGG